CACUAGUAGCUCAGUAUCUUAGAGCGUCG
Molecule: transfer RNA, 29 nt
Filed under: Limia perugiae (Perugia's limia)
Lineage: Eukaryota; Metazoa; Chordata; Actinopteri; Cyprinodontiformes; Poeciliidae
Also listed under: 2 other names
Description: partial tRNA-Thr
Source: RNAcentral